Molecule: long non-coding RNA, 400 nt
Organism: Humulus lupulus (European hop)
Lineage: Eukaryota; Viridiplantae; Streptophyta; Magnoliopsida; Rosales; Cannabaceae
Exons: 2
Source: RefSeq, a predicted model, not a curated record
UGCUUUUCCAAUAACCUGCAGUGAAGGCAUUUAGAAUGACUGAAACUGAGUUAACUUACCACUGCUCCCGAGACCAGUAUAUAGAGAUCGGUUGGAGCCUCAUUCUGCAAAAUUACGUCUUCUUUAGGUGGGAAGUACUCUGCCUCCAUCUCUGAAACCUUUUAAAGUAAAGAAUGAUAUUACUUUCACUCUCUUGAAACGUAUAAUACAUAUGAUAAAUCAUGAAUUAAAUAUUGUAUAUGUGUAUAUCUUGUAUUUAUUCAAAACGAUCAAGGCACGUGCUUUAUUGUUUUUGUGGGCCCACCAGACCAGUUAACAUGGUUGUCGAUUGGCUUACAGAAAGACUCCAUAAAGAAAGAACGAAAAAAAAAUGAUGAUGAUGAUGAUAUUGAAAAGCUAA